This is a small nuclear RNA of Eptesicus fuscus (big brown bat), 163 nucleotides long. RefSeq annotates it as U1 spliceosomal RNA. The record is from RefSeq and is a predicted model, not a curated record. The transcript has a single exon. Lineage: Eukaryota; Metazoa; Chordata; Mammalia; Chiroptera; Vespertilionidae.
AAACUUACCUGGCAGGGGAGAUACCAUGUUUACAAGGUGGUUUUCACAGAGUGAGCCUUAUUCAUUGCACUCUGGAUGUGCUGACCCCUGUGAUUUCCCCAAAUGAGGGAAACUCAACUGCAUAAUUUACAGUACUGGGGAACUGCAUUUGCAGUCUUCCCUA